Molecule: long non-coding RNA, 803 nt
Filed under: Homo sapiens (human)
Lineage: Eukaryota; Metazoa; Chordata; Mammalia; Primates; Hominidae
Description: HSALNT0054950
Source: RNAcentral
UUUAAGAUGAGCCUGCCAUAGCAUAUACAAGUCACAGGAAGACAUCUCCCUAAACUGGAUCUUAAGAAAGCUGUCAUGUUCGGGAAAGAGAUGCCCCCUCCUAGAAAAGGAGCCAGAGAGAGGCAUUCUGGAGAAUUUGAAACAUGAAGGAACAAUUUGAUAUCUCAAGUUUACUGACCAGAAGUGGCUCCAAUGACAAGUGUUUACAACAGGAUCUUCAUAGAGCCAAUAAUGGCAAUUAGUCUCCAGGAUUUGAAGGCGCCCUUCCCGCCUCACUGAGGUGGAAUGCCAUUUACUCUUGGGCUGGUGACUAAUUAGGGGUCUCGUUUGAAGAUCAAGGUUUUGCGAUUCCUGCUUCUUAAUAACAUGGUUUGCCUGUCGGCCACCUGGGUCCAGGCGAGACCUCCCUUUCCCUCUCCCCACACAGCAAGCACUGCCUUAGGCCAGAGCAAGUGUGGGCAGGAAACCACAGAUCCAGCCUUUUGAGCAAUUUAACCUCUUCACCGCCAAGAUCCUACAACCCAGUGCUUGAUUCAGCUGUGCAAAAAUGGAGGCAUUUGACCUUGUUUCUCAGGCAGGGCUGAAGGCUUGCCUGUGGUGCAAAGAAACCACCUUGGAGGUGAAAUGCUAUGCAGCAUACUUUCUUGGAGAAGAAGAGAGAGAGAAAGACUCCACUUUUCCAGGAAACUCUGGAAGAAAAGACAGAGGAUGGGACCAAGAGAGACCAAAUGCAUUUCCUUUGGAAAUCACUGCCUGGAUCAGGGGUCCUCAAGUUGUUACCAACUCCCACAAGAGCCCUGAAA